UUGACAUUCUGAACGUGAAGGCAUACUUUCAGGAGUGAGGGUAGAGCGGGGUUUCCCCCGCCCCGGUAGUCUUAGUAUGCUGGGUAGCUAAUCACUAAGAGCAUGAGUAUCUUCAUCAUGACCCUUUCCUUAUU
Molecule: small RNA, 134 nt
Filed under: Shigella dysenteriae 1012
Lineage: Bacteria; Pseudomonadati; Pseudomonadota; Gammaproteobacteria; Enterobacterales; Enterobacteriaceae
Description: QUAD RNA
Rfam family: Short Intergenic Abundant RNA
About the family: This family contains multiple ncRNA from E. coli that were identified in a large scale screen of E. coli, were they were called candidates 43,55 and 61. These RNAs have also been identified by other groups and called QUAD RNAs.
Source: RNAcentral